This 253-nucleotide ribosomal RNA is filed under the name uncultured bacterium. RNAcentral's name for it is "partial 16S ribosomal RNA". It matches the Rfam family "Bacterial small subunit ribosomal RNA", at positions 524 to 776 of the family's 1533-position model. The record is from RNAcentral.
UACGUAGGGCGCAAGCGUUGUCCGGAAUUAUUGGGCGUAAAGAGCUCGUAGGCGGUUUGUCGCGUCUGCCGUGAAAACCCGAGGCUUAACCUCGGGCCUGCGGUGGAUACGGGCAGACUAGAGGUAGGUAGGGGAGAAUGGAAUUCCCGGUGUAGCGGUGAAAUGCGCAGAUAUCGGGAGGGACACCGGUGGCGAAGGCGGUUCUCUGGGCCUUACCUGACGCUGAGGAGCGAAAGCGUGGGGAGCGAACAGG